AAGAAGAGGGAGGGUCGGGGAGAGUUCUAGAAGAAAGAGGGGAAGAAGAAAAAAAAUUGAAGGGGACUUCAACUCAAAUUGAGAAGAUAGUAAAACAGUAGGAGCAAGAAGUUGUGAGCGGGUUAGAUUUGGAUACUAAACUGGUAAGGCUACAAUUCUCCAAUUCACAUCCCUUUCAUUUGUGUUUAUUAAUCAGUUUGAAUUUUAUUGGGCAUCUUGGUUAUACUUUAUACCCACAUCAUAAGUGUUUUAAUUCCUUAAUCCUUGUACCAAUUUUGAAUUGGAAUUAGAAUUUUUUCUCAAGAAGAUCCUUAGAGCAAGACCAACUGUCAUGAAUUAUUGCUUGCCUUAUUUCUAGCAUAGUAAUUCUGACGAAGAAGACAAGAAUGAAUAAUUUAGUAAUGCAUAUGAUGGAAUUAUCCCUCUGGGAAAUGCAAUGCUUCACAUUGUCAACGUUUAUCUUCUCUCCUAAAUUCUUCUUACUAUUAAAUUUUGAAUCUUGGUCCAUUCAAUUAGGUACAGGAUGCUCAAUACUUUCCAGUAAAAGAUUUUGUCAACUUUCUAACUUGAUAGUAUGUGCUUGUUUUUGUAUAUUUGGAAAGAUCUAUGCUCAUUGAUAAACGAAAAGGGUUGUGUAGUUGAGUGUGCUUACAUUUGAGAGUUAGAGUCUUGAACUUGGAUUGUGGUGCCAAUAAACAUUGUUGAGUUUAUUUCAAACAAUGGAGUUGAAUGAGACAUCAUAAACUACUUGGUAAUGAUGUUGUAAUUACUAUUUGCAAGCAUUGAGUUGUA
This is a long non-coding RNA of Pyrus x bretschneideri (Chinese white pear), 792 nucleotides long. RefSeq lists it as uncharacterized. NCBI's taxonomy places the organism in Eukaryota, Viridiplantae, Streptophyta, Magnoliopsida, Rosales, Rosaceae. The record is from RefSeq and is a predicted model, not a curated record. The transcript has 2 exons.